AUAUACCGUAGCAGCGUUGGUGUCCGCCCGACGGCAACCCGCCGACGGACGGAACCGUAAGAGGGAAUACCGGUUAAAGUCCGGAACUGCCCCGCAGCGGUGAGCGAAAACGAACCCCGCAACACGGCACUGGACCGCCACGGUCCGGGAAGCGGCGGGUAGUAGAAAUCCGGCCCCUAUGCGGCCGCCAUGUUCGCAAGUCCGAAGACCUGCCAAUGCCCGCCGGCAAUC
Molecule: non-coding RNA, 231 nt
Filed under: Desulfovibrio sp.
Lineage: Bacteria; Pseudomonadati; Thermodesulfobacteriota; Desulfovibrionia; Desulfovibrionales; Desulfovibrionaceae
Source: RNAcentral